UCCCAACUGUUAUGCACCGAUGAACAAGGCAACAGCUAUUCACUAAACUCAAUCUCAAGACUAAAGCUGGUACUACAGAGUGCUCUCUUCAUAUUGAUGUCAUGAUACACUAAAAACCUCCAGUAGACCAGAUGUGCACUGACCCCACCC
Tachysurus vachellii is the source of this 150-nucleotide long non-coding RNA. RefSeq lists it as uncharacterized. The transcript is spliced from 3 exons. NCBI's taxonomy places the organism in Eukaryota, Metazoa, Chordata, Actinopteri, Siluriformes, Bagridae. The record is from RefSeq and is a predicted model, not a curated record.